UGCUGGUUUUGGUAAUAGAGAUACAGAUGAGAUUAGCUACCUUAAGGUUGGAAUCCCGAAGGGAAAAAUCUUCAUCAUCAAUCCCAAGGGUGAGGUUGCUGUGAACCGCCGUGUUGACACAAAAUCAUACACUACGCUUCAUGAUCUUGUGCAGGGGAUGUUCCCAACCAUGACAUCAUCUGAGCAGGAGGAUUUUAAUUCAUGGAAUUUCUGGAAAUUGCCACCCCUUGAUAUUGAUAUUUGAAGGUGUCAAGUGAAAUUUUUGCUUAACCCUCUGAAUGCGGAGAUUAUUGGGUUUCUGACCAAGAUUGUUGUAGAACUAUUCAGGUAAAUUCUUAUUUUAGCAUCUAUGUAAUUUGACAAGAUUGUAGGAAAGGACAGUCUGAAAGCUUGUUUAAAAAAAUGACUAGUCACGUUUCAAACUGCCAGGGCUUUGACUGGUGAUUAAAUUACACUGGAGACGUUUUAGAACUCUUGUUUUAAAACAGUAGCAGUUGAGAGAGAGAGAGACAUUUCAGAUUAGUUUGUGGCUAUUUUGUUUAUUUCUUCGCAGUUGUAUUGUAGCCUGAUGGCAGAAGUUCCCCAUUGAUCAUCCGUUGCUGACCCAAAAGCACAUUAUAGAUCUGCACAAGAAAAGUCUAAUUCAUUAUGUCUGUAUUUUGGUUCAUAAACAGUUGAACUGUACAAAUACGACUAUAUUGUAUAGCACAUACACUUAGUAAUUAGUCCCAUGAAUAUAAGCAUUUCUCAUUCUUGAAAACAUUGAUGUAUGAUG
This 775-nucleotide unclassified non-coding RNA is filed under the name Hevea brasiliensis (rubber tree). Lineage: Eukaryota; Viridiplantae; Streptophyta; Magnoliopsida; Malpighiales; Euphorbiaceae. The record is from RNAcentral.